Molecule: ribosomal RNA, 406 nt
Filed under: uncultured bacterium
Lineage: Bacteria
Description: bacterial SSU rRNA
Rfam family: Bacterial small subunit ribosomal RNA
Source: RNAcentral
CAACCCCUGCCCGCAGUAGCCAGCAUUUUAGAUGGGGGGUGUGCGGGGACUGCCGGGGACAACCCGGAGGAAGGCGGGGAUGACGUCAAAUCAUCAUGCCCCUUAUGGCUUGGGCUACACACGUGUUACAAUGGCGCCGACAGAGGGAGGCGAAGCGGCGACGCGGAGCGAACCCCAAAAACGGCGUCCCAGUUCGGAUUGUAGUCUGCAACCCGACUACAUGAAGCCGGAAUCGCUAGUAAUCGCGGAUCAGAAUGCCGCGGUGAAUACGUUCCCGGGUCUUGUACACACCGCCCGUCACACCAUGGGAGCCGGGAAUGCCCGAAGUCUGUGACCGAACCCGGAAGGGGAGGGGCAGCCGAAGGCAGGCCCGGUGACUGGGGUGAAGUCGUGACAAGGUAACCGU